RNAcentral lists this ribosomal RNA (433 nucleotides) under uncultured bacterium. Its description in RNAcentral is "partial 16S ribosomal RNA". It matches the Rfam family "Bacterial small subunit ribosomal RNA", at positions 29 to 507 of the family's 1533-position model. The record is from RNAcentral.
AACGAACGCUGGCGGCAUGCCUAACACAUGCAAGUCGAACGAGACCUUCGGGUUUAGUGGCGCACGGGUGCGUAAAGCGUGGGAACCUGCCCUUAGGUUCGGAAUCACUCCCCGAAAGGGGUGCUAAUAACGGAUAAUGUUUUCGGACCAAAGAUUUAUCGCCUUUGGAUGGGCCCGCGUUGGAUUGGCUAGUUGGUAGGGUAAAAGCCUACCAAGGCGACGAUCCAUAGCUGGUCUGAGAGGAUGAUCAGCCACACUGGGACUGAGACACGGCCCAGACUCCUACGGGAGGCAGCAGUGGAGAAUAUUGGACAAGGGGCGAAAGCCUGAUCCAGCAAUGCCGCGUGAGUGAUGAAGGCCUUAGGGUUGUAAAGCUCUUUUACCCGGGAUGAUAAUGACAGUACCGGGAGAAUAAGCUCCGGCUAACUCCGUG